The sequence is a small nuclear RNA, 164 nucleotides long. Its record names the gene U1. It matches the Rfam family "U1 spliceosomal RNA". From Rfam's summary of the family: U1 is a small nuclear RNA (snRNA) component of the spliceosome (involved in pre-mRNA splicing). Its 5' end forms complementary base pairs with the 5' splice junction, thus defining the 5' donor site of an intron. There are significant differences in sequence and secondary structure between metazoan and yeast U1 snRNAs, the latter being much longer (568 nucleotides as compared to 164 nucleotides in human). The record is from Ensembl.
UUACUUACCUGGCAGGGGAGAUACCGUGAUCAAGAAGGCGGUUCACCCAGGGCGAGGCUCAGCCAUUGCACUUCGGCUGUGCUGACCCCUGCGAAUUCCCCAAAUGUGGGAAUCUCGACUGCAUAAUUUCUGGUAGUGGGGGACUGCGUUCGCGCUCUCCCCUG